Molecule: unclassified non-coding RNA, 409 nt
Filed under: Hevea brasiliensis (rubber tree)
Lineage: Eukaryota; Viridiplantae; Streptophyta; Magnoliopsida; Malpighiales; Euphorbiaceae
Source: RNAcentral
ACAUUGUAUAGACUAGUUUAAUGUGUUAUUGAAUAUACAGCUGGAACAUGGCGGCACACUCAUCAUCAGAAAAUAAUGAAGCUAUCAAAUUCUACACGUCAUGAAUUAGUGUUAGGGGCAAAAAAAAAGAUCACUUACCAACUAAUAUACAAUUAGCUAUAAUAUUGUGAUAUUGCUGCUUCAUUCCAGGUAAAAGUGCAACCCAACAAGGGAGAAACUGAUAUUCCACCAGGCUGAUUCAAUUUUUUGUAAUGAUAAGAGAUUCUGCAUCACCACAAAGUCAACAAAUAAAAGGCAGAUCUAAGUGUCAUCUCUUCUUCUUUGAUGCAUGAGAACUAUGUUUCGAGAAUAAAUUCAUCCUGAAAAAUCCCGACGUCUUGGAAGAUUUCUUUUCUUUAGGGUGCUGGUU